This 253-nucleotide ribosomal RNA is filed under the name uncultured bacterium. Its description in RNAcentral is "partial 16S ribosomal RNA". It matches the Rfam family "Bacterial small subunit ribosomal RNA", at positions 524 to 776 of the family's 1533-position model. The record is from RNAcentral.
UACAGAGGGUGCGAGCGUUGUCCGGAAUCAUUGGGCGUAAAGAGCGUGUAGGCGGCCAGGUAGGUCGGUUGUGAAAACUGGAGGCUCAACCUUCAGAGGUCGACCGAAACCAUCUGGCUAGAGUCCGGGAGAGGAGAGUGGAAUUCCUGGUGUAGCGGUGAAAUGCGCAGAUAUCAGGAAGAACACCCGUGGCGAAGGCGGCUCUCUGGGACGGUACUGACGCUGAGACGCGAAAGCGUGGGGAGCGAACAGG